This 1523-nucleotide ribosomal RNA is filed under the name metagenome. RNAcentral's name for it is "bacterial SSU rRNA". It matches the Rfam family "Bacterial small subunit ribosomal RNA". The record is from RNAcentral.
AGAGUUUGAUCAUGGCUCAGAUUGAACGCUGGCGGCAGGCCUAACACAUGCAAGUCGAACGGUAACAGGAAACAGCUUGCUGUUUCGCUGACGAGUGGCGGACGGGUGAGUAAUGUCUGGGAAACUGCCUGAUGGAGGGGGAUAACUACUGGAAACGGUAGCUAAUACCGCAUAACGUCGCAAGACCAAAGAGGGGGACCCUCGGGCCUCUUGCCAUCGGAUGUGCCCAGAUGGGAUUAGCUUGUUGGUGGGGUAACGGCUCACCAAGGCGACGAUCCCUAGCUGGUCUGAGAGGAUGACCAGCCACACUGGAACUGAGACACGGUCCAGACUCCUACGGGAGGCAGCAGUGGGGAAUAUUGCACAAUGGGCGCAAGCCUGAUGCAGCCAUGCCGCGUGUAUGAAGAAGGCCUUCGGGUUGUAAAGUACUUUCAGCGGGGAGGAAGGGAGUAAAGUUAAUACCUUUGCUCAUUGACGUUACCCGCAGAAGAAGCACCGGCUAACUCCGUGCCAGCAGCCGCGGUAAUACGGAGGGUGCAAGCGUUAAUCGGAAUUACUGGGCGUAAAGCGCACGCAGGCGGUUUGUUAAGUCAGAUGUGAAAUCCCCGGGCUCAACCUGGGAACUGCAUCUGAUACUGGCAAGCUUGAGUCUCGUAGAGGGGGGGUAGAAUUCCAGGUGUAGCGGUGAAAUGCGUAGAGAUCUGGAGGAAUACCGGUGGCGAAGGCGGCCCCCUGGACGAAGACUGACGCUCAGGUGCGAAAGCGUGGGGAGCAAACAGGAUUAGAUACCCUGGUAGUCCACGCCGUAAACGAUGUCGACUUGGAGGUUGUGCCCUUGAGGCGUGGCUUCCGGAGCUAACGCGUUAAGUCGACCGCCUGGGGAGUACGGCCGCAAGGUUAAAACUCAAAUGAAUUGACGGGGGCCCGCACAAGCGGUGGAGCAUGUGGUUUAAUUCGAUGCAACGCGAAGAACCUUACCUGGUCUUGACAUCCACGGAAGUUUUCAGAGAUGAGAAUGUGCCUUCGGGAACCGUGAGACAGGUGCUGCAUGGCUGUCGUCAGCUCGUGUUGUGAAAUGUUGGGUUAAGUCCCGCAACGAGCGCAACCCUUAUCCUUUGUUGCCAGCGGUCCGGCCGGGAACUCAAAGGAGACUGCCAGUGAUAAACUGGAGGAAGGUGGGGAUGACGUCAAGUCAUCAUGGCCCUUACGACCAGGGCUACACACGUGCUACAAUGGCGCAUACAAAGAGAAGCGACCUCGCGAGAGCAAGCGGACCUCAUAAAGUGCGUCGUAGUCCGGAUUGGAGUCUGCAACUCGACUCCAUGAAGUCGGAAUCGCUAGUAAUCGUGGAUCAGAAUGCCACGGUGAAUACGUUCCCGGGCCUUGUACACACCGCCCGUCACACCAUGGGAGUGGGUUGCAAAAGAAGUAGGUAGCUUAACCUUCGGGAGGGCGCUUACCACUUUGUGAUUCAUGACUGGGGUGAAGUCGAAACAAGGUAACCGUAGGGGAACCUGCGGUUG